Molecule: non-coding RNA, 6948 nt
Organism: Delphinapterus leucas (beluga whale)
Lineage: Eukaryota; Metazoa; Chordata; Mammalia; Artiodactyla; Monodontidae
Source: RefSeq, a predicted model, not a curated record
CUUCUCUUCUAAAUGAUAAUCUUGCUGGAUAGAGUAUCCUAGGUUGCAGGAUUUCCCUUUUAGGGCUUUGAAUGUAUUAUGCCACUUCUGCCCUGCCCUGCAAAGUUUCUCCAGAGAAAUGAGCUGAUAGCCUUGUGGGGAUUCCCUUGUGUAUGACUCUCUGUUUUUCUCCUGCUGCCUUUAGAAUUCUCUUUAUAUCUUUAAUUUUGCCAUUUUAAUUAUGAUAUGUCUUGGUGUGGGCUGGUUUGGGCUCAUCUUGUUUGGCACUCUGCUUCCUGAAAUUGGAUAUGUUUCCCUUUUUAGGUUUGGGACGUUUCCAGCCAUAAUUUCUUCAAAUACAUUUUUGAUCCCUUUCUCUCUUCUUUUUGUGGAACCCCUAUAAUGUGAAUAUUGGCACAUUUUAUAUUCCAUAGAACUUGUAUGUUGUUUUCUCCCUCCCUCCCUCCCUCCCUCCCCCCCUUUCUUCUUUCUUCUGUUCUUAUUGGGUGAUUUCUGUUAUUCUAUCCUCCAGAUCACUUAUGCAUUCUUCUGUGUCAUUUAGUCUGCUAUUCAUUGCUUCUAGAGUGUUUUUAUCUCAGAGAUUGAAUUAUCAAUUUUUGAUGGGGUCUUUUAAAUUUCUAGUUCCUUGGUAGAAUGAUCUGUGCUUACCUCUACUGUCUUAAUUCAGUUAGCAUUUUUAUUACCCACUUUUCGAAUUCAUUGUCUAUCUCUUUUUCAUUAUUUAUUUCUUCAGGGGUUUUCUCUUGCUCUUUGAGUUGAGAGUAGUUCCUCUGCGUUUUCAUUUUACUUUCUCUGUCUCUGAAUUUAGGUGCAACAGUUAUCUGUUAUGGUCUUGAAGGGGUGUUUUUACGUGGGAACAUCCCUGUGUAGACUGUGUGCGCCUAAGAUCUUUGGUGUGUGGGUUGAAUUUGAUGUGGAUGCCAGCCCACUACUUUCCUCAGGAUGUGAUGACAACUACCACCUUGAUUGCGGGGGGCGGGGUACGGCUGGCGUUGGAGGAGCCAAAGACUGUGUAGGGUGUGAGGCGAGACUUGCUGUCUCCUCACUGGCCACAGCCGCCCUGUUGGGUGGGGUCUGCUCCCAAGCUGCUGGAGUGGAAGCCCUGAGGGUCGGGCUGGAGCUGGCUCUGUUCCCUUCAAGUGUGUGUUUUUCCGUCUCCCCACACUGGAACCUUUGCCCCGAAGGAGGGGAGUGCUGAAAUAAGCAGGGUUUGUGUGCUUACAGAUGUCCAGCGUGCUGCUUGUGUAGGUAUCUGCAGUCACGCUCAGAACCAGAUCAGGGUUGUCUUUUCCCCUACUGCGGUGGUCUCAGCUCUGGUGUAAGGAGUGGGUGGGGCUGGAGUGCUUGCUUGGGGAUCAUGGCAUUGUGGUUGCAGGAAUCGAAGUGGCUGCACUGUCAUGAGAAGUCUGGGCUACUUCUGUGGCGCUGAGUAAGCGCCAGCAAUGGCCGCCACUCAGCCUGUACCAUACCCCAGGCCCGUGGGUCACCUCUGUGUCCGUAGAUUGAGUCUUUUUCCAGGAUGUGGCUGCCCUAGAUUCACUGCCAAGCUGUGGUGUGGAGUGAGUGGGGCCAGGGGGUUCAAUCAGCUUGGGUCAGAGACUGUGGCAAGGUGACAGCUGCUAGGGCAGACCUCUCUCCGCCCUGUUUGGGGGCAAGCCAGCACUGCGUACUCCUCGCCAGUGCAGUCCAGGCUUCUCCAGCCUUUCUGUGUGUCACAGCUGUUCUCCAGGCAGCCAAAGGGCCUUGCCUCCUCUGUAUAAGACCGCAGGACUAGAAUGCCCAAUCUGUCUCUCAACCUGCUCACUCCCCAGGGUGAAUGUCCACCUGUAUGACAUUCCUGUACCUCUUAGUUCCCUCCUGGGGCACAGGUCUCGACCCGGUGCUUUUCCUCCCAUCCUACCUGGGAUGGGAUUAUGGGGGAAUCUUUCUUGCAGCCUUGGUUGUAUAGGAGUCCUUCUGCCAGUUUCCACGUAGUUUUUGGUGAGAAUUGUUCUACAUGUAGAUGUAUUUUUUGAUUUGCGGGGGGAGGUGAGCUCUACAUCCUCUUACUCUGCCAUCUUGAUCACCCUCCCACUCUCCUUCUCCCUCCUUUCCUCCUCUCAUUCUCUCCCUUUCCCUACUCAGGGAACUCUGUGGUACUUGGGGUCAUUUCUCAUCUGUACCCCAGAAGUCUUUGGAGCUAACAGGAGUUUUGUGCAUACUCACCUGGGCUUGGACCCGUCAUCUUCAUAACCACAUGCCCCAGACUCAUGGACUUGGCUCCUUUCAAACAAUGUCCAUAUUGGCAGCUUUCAUCCAUUCAUUCAACAAAUACUUACUCGAGGCCUGCCCUACGCUCAGUCGUGGUCUGGGGUUGCUUUGGUAAACAAGACCGGUGUGGCCCUUACUCUCAUGAAGGUUAGUGAGGGGAGAAAGGAAUGAGCAAAUACACCAGGUGAUUUUGAUGGUAAGUGCUGUGAAGAAAAGAAAGCAGGCUGAUGCGGGAGAAAGUGACUGAGGUGGUCAAGACAGGCCUCACAAAGAGGUGACGCUCGAGACCUAGAUGAUCAGACUGUACCAGAUCACCAGGCAGGUUUCUCUGUUGAAAAUAACAGGAUCCGACUCUAGUUAACGUAAGCACUGGAAGGGUACUGGGUACUUCAGAGAAUGGGCGGAAGGCCUGGAAAAUUAGGCCAGCACAGAGGCGGUUGCUAAGGGAGGUUGGCCAGAACACUGACCAAAAUCAUGCUACAGCUGUUUCUUGUUAGGACCCAGCCACCUCUGCUCUGGAUACUGACCUCGAACCCUGGACCCACAGGCACACCACCACCAGAGGGACCUCCAAACUGGGCCUGAUUACCGCAGACCACAGGUUGUUCACAGUUUCAGGACUGUUUCUGCAGCCGUCACAUGAUAGCAAAACGGUGGUAAGCAGUGCACGAGUCGUCGAAGACAGCCAGAGUCCAUGCAUCGGGAGGUUCUCUCGGUUGGAGAACGAACAAAGGGAGGACAUGCUCGGGCCAGGAGAUGCAGUUCCUCGCUCUCGCCACUAGAGGUCAGGAGGUUACCGCUUCAGGGUUGGAAGGCGGGCCCGUGGGGGAUCGGCUAGUGGUGGCGGUGGGUGCUGAGACUAGGCAGGGGGGUGGGGGUAGCGGUGGAUGCCACACCUGGUGACCCCCUGGUUAUUGACAUCUGACUUUGGAAUGACUUUGUUUUGUUUGGCGUCAAAUUCACCGUCUUUGUGGGGCUGAGGGACCAGAGGAAAGAUGCCAGCUUGGGGUCAAAGGGAGAGCUCACACUGCAGCUUCUCAAAGCGCCUUUUUCUCUAACAAACAGAGAUAAAACCUGCAAGGGGUCCAGAACAGUGCCAGGGUCCUAGUGAAGGUUCUCCCUGGGAGGUCUUCUACCCAGUGCCCCAUCCUCCACUCGGGCUAGCUGUCCAGGAGCCCCACCUCCCAGCCUGACUGUCCCUGUGGUCAGCUGGGACCAUGGUUAAGGACCAAAUCUGCUCUUGCACAGUCCAGGGCAGUAGAAGACCUUGGACUAGGUGCCAGGUGUCCUGGGUUCUUAUCCCAACUGGAUCCUGUGUAGGCCCCUUCUGCUUGCUACUUCUGUGGCGCAAGUAAGUGGCGCUAAGUGGCCUUAGUUUCCCCAUGUGUCUAACAAGGAAGUUGUACUAGGUGAGGCUCUAGGUGUACUUCUAACUUGGCCAUUCAGCAUUUCCGUGUGUUUACAGGGAAUUCGUGAAGCUCCUCUCUGAAUGAGAAACCUGCCCCCCACCCAAAAGGCAAAGCUAAGACGAUAACCCAGAGUUCACCCAGACACAAGGUUCCUCAUAAAUAGACUCAGCCUCUCUGAAUCUCCUUCCUCAUCUGUCAGAUGGCAAUUAAACCCAUCUCACAGGGCUGUGAAGAUUCAUCAAGACGACAGUGGUUGUAAAACCCUUAGCACACACAAAGCCUCCUUAGGGAAAACCAGGACUGCCUGACCAGCAAAGUUUGCCAGUUGACCUGAUGCUUAAGCUUGGAGCGAGAGGCAGGAUCCAUCCUCCAGCUUCCUCAGGAGGAGAAAGAUCAAAGAAACUCCACUCACCCUUCAAGGCCUUGCUAAAGCAUCACUUCCUCCAGGAACCCCUCCCUGCUCUCCCAGCCGAGUCAGCAGAGUCCACAGAACGUGCAGGUGGGUCAGGCUGGUCUUGGCAUUCCUCACAACCCCAUUGUAAUGGUUUGUUUCCAGCUCCCUGACUAGAUGGGCACCUCCCUGAGGGCAGGCCCAGGGUCUCAUUCAUCCCCAGGGGCCUGUGGGAUCAUUGAGUGAAGCGCUUUGCCUGUGCCCACGUUCACUGGGAGCUCCAGGAUCUUUACCAGACUCCUGGCUCUCAGGUCAACUUUUCCCACCCACCCAGUCAUGCCAGAGAUGAACAGAUGUAGUCAGAACCUCCUUUUGGGAAUGAACUUUCUUCAGAGUCCUGUCUUGUCCCUGCCCAAAUUCUCCUUCUCUUACUGCCCCUCUUCCUGAUGGCACCCCCGCGCUCUCAGCCUGGAGGCCCCUGCGACUCACUGCUGACCUCUAGUAGGGUCCUUGUCUUCUGGACAGCCCCAUCUGCUUCCUCCGGGUGGGUGCUGAGGCCAGGGUCCUCCUCUUCCACCUCUGGCCCUCUCAGGCCCCAGGGGGGCGAAAGCAGGCCCAGCUCUCUGCCCCCGCUGUCCCUCGGAGGGGCUGGGCCUUCCAUGGCCUCUAAGCGGGGGCUGCAGUGGCUCUGUGUCCAAGCAGGUGUCCUGGAUCUCCCCAAACAUGGGGGCGAGGCCCUUAGUGGCAGCUGAGGAAGCCCAGGGCCAGGCCUGUGCUGGGCCGGGCAGGGGUGGGUGCAGCGGGCAGGUGGGGUGGGUCAGUCGCUGAGCACGGCCCCCGGGAGCUCGUUGGUGAGCGUGUGCCAGCGCUCGAUCCGCUUGUCCUUGUUCUUCAGGCAAUCAAACCAGUGCUUCAGGCGCUCGCCCUUGGCAUUGAUGCCCAGAACCACGCCGCCUGCAGAGGGGAGCCGAGAGGCAGCCAGGACACGGUGACCUCUGACUCUCAGGGUCUCUCUGGAACCAGUACCCCCUGGCACCCCUCCCAGACUUUGUGCUCCACGGCCAGACUCUCUUCCCUGCCCACCUGCUCUGAGGGUGGACUGUGGUCUGACUGCCCCACUCUUGGAGCCCCCACUCCCCCAAUCAGGGCCCAGGGAUCCUGCUCUUCCUUUACCCAGGACCAGAGCAGUACCUGCGGGGCAGCACAGUGGCUUGUGUUGGUGCUAGGGCAGCUCCACUGUGCACAGCCACCAAGCCCACCACAGAUUUGGGGCCACAAGGGCUCAGAGUCCAGCCUGAGGGGCUGACCAUCAUCACCUUUUACCCCUGCUCCACCACAGACUGCUGUGUGACUCGGCCAGGCCUCUUUCUCUCUCUGGGCCUCUUUCUCUGUCACAUGGGGUCAGGCUGGAUCACGUCUAUGGCCCCAACUUUCCCCAAAGGCCAGGAAGGCGGGACUGUGGCCUGAUUCAGGGCCCCUGCCCUUUGCUGAACCCAGGAUGGGCAUGUUGCUAAACAGCAUUCCCAUCGUGUCCUCUCACCGAUGAAAUCGUUGGAUUUUCCAAUGUCAUAAUCCCAAACGGUGAUCUCCAGGGUCUUCUUGGCCAGGUCCCCGUGCUUAAUCUCAUAACAGAAUUCCUGGUGGCCAGAAGGGGAGUGUCAGGACCAAUGACACACGGCCUGUAAGUCGGCUGGUGGCCAGGAGGGUGGGCAGUGCACAGCAGUGGAUGAUAAUGGAUUCUCACCCAUCUCACCCACUUCCAUCUGAGAGCCCAGCUGAGCUCCUCAGGGUCCCCUUCCUUCUGACCCACCUGCCCCUUUGUCACUGAAGCUGCUUUUCUCAGGAUCCAAGAGUCUCCUUAUUGCAAGUCAGCGCACACUUGGCGGCCUUGGCAUGCUUGAUCUCUCUUGGGUCUGAUUCUGCUGACCACUCCCUUCUUUGUGGAACCCUCUCCCACCAGCUUCCAGGAUCCUUCAACAUCUGGUGUCCCCCUCUCUCCCUGGCAGCACCUCCUCGGCCUUCUCUGCCUGCACCCGAGUCACUCAGGCUCUGUCAGAGGCUCCCCUCCCUCAUCUCGUUCUUUGGAGCUCCUUUCCGGCUGCACCCACCCCCUGGGCUGAGGACCUGGGUAUCUAUCUGCCCCCACCUUCCUGGGGCCGCUCACAUCCUCACACCACCCCCUCCACAUCUAACAUGGCUACAAUCCCAUCAAUUCAAUCCUCCGAAGAGUUUUCCAGGCCGCUCCUCACUUCUGUCUGUACCACCUUGGCCUGGUUCAGCCUGGCCUCACUUCUCCCACCAGUCCUCCUACCCCACGGCUGGGGGCUCUCCUGUCAGUCCGUCUCCAACCUCCAGCUCCCACAGUGACCCUUGAAAAACCCAGUCCCUCCGGGGUCCCCUGUCCUGAGGGAGAGUGAGUGGCUCAUGGCUUCCCCAGCCUCUCGUACCUCGUUGAACUCUGGGUUUAGGGUUUUCUUCUUUACCGCUGUCUUAUGUUUGGAUUUCUUGUCCACAUCUGGCUUCAGGUAUCUGGAAUUAUAACCAAUCAAUAGGCAGAGAGUGAGAAGAUACUGAGCAUACAUGGAGCCAGCAGGGCUUGGAAGAGAGAGAUUCCCAGGCCUCCCGUUCAUCCUAACCCUCGGAUGUCCCCAGCACUACUCUGUGACAAAGGUGAGCAGUCAGUGCAGUGGGAGAAGCAAUGGGUCCUUCAUCACCUGGACCUCUGUUCACAGCCCAUUUCUGACAUCACAGAGCCCCUCCAUCCCCUAGGAAAGAGAAUUUUUUUUAUUUCUGGAAGUCUAAUUUUCACAGCUCUCAUUUCCCACCAGAAAAACAUUUUUAGCAAAGUUGGUCCCUUGCUAGAGCUCUUUUUGUAAUAGCAGAUUAUGGAGAUAGAAU